Molecule: long non-coding RNA, 425 nt
Organism: Musca domestica (house fly)
Lineage: Eukaryota; Metazoa; Arthropoda; Insecta; Diptera; Muscidae
Exons: 3
Source: RefSeq, a predicted model, not a curated record
UCUUUCAGUGGUCCAUGUACUCAGUAUUGAGGUCGACACUGAAGCGAGCGAGCGGUGGUUCGGUUAAUAAUAGAGCGGAAUUUUGAUAAACCAUUGGAUUUGAAAAGCAUUGUUUGCGAUAAUUCUAUUGUUGUUUUCAUUUGUUGAAAACAGUAAAAGAAACAACAAAUACAAUUGGAAUCGGCGAUCAGAUGACCGACAAGAUCAAUUGAGAAUUUCAAUGGAUCGGAAAUAAGAAAUUUAUUUCAACUAUAAUCAACCACCCAUUGGGUCUAAUUCCGCGUUGUGGUCCUAAGAUGGCAAUCAACAUUGGAUGCAUAUGUGAUAGAGAUGGUACUGCAAAUCCUAUUCUUAAUACCGAAAUAAUCUCUUUGAAAUUUAUUUAUAAACUUUUUGAAUUAAAUAAAAUGUGAAACUUACAAUAA